GACCUAUUCUCGCGGUCCUUGGUCCCCAACCUCCAACCCCCCUUCUCCUUCAGACGUUAGUUUCCAGAAGAUCUGGCCCGGGAUUGGUGUAGGCGCCCAGAAAGGGAGCAGGAUAGGUUUGAGGGUGCAGGCCGUCUGGGCGGCAAUCUGUCGUUCCGGCACCCACCAUCUACUUGCACUUAAACCUGGUAGCGAACCCCCAGGGAGGCAGAAGCUGCCGGCGUGAACUGCGCUGCAGAUUGCUCAGCGCCGGCCUCGGCCUCUAGGCCCGUCCAGGAACGCCACGACGAAAGCGAUUCUGCGGACUGUUCAUGCUCACCGCUCUUCAAAUUGCGUGCAGAAUGGAGAUGAAAGACAGCAAGAUGGUCUGGGUGUGGAGAGGUCGGAGUACAAGCCUCACAACCACUGGCACCCCAGCGCGCCGCUUUUCCCCAUGGUGCCAUUGCCUGGGCCUCACCCUCUGAUGCUAUACAUGCAGUGGUGUGGAUCAAACCAGAAGCUUCAGUCAUGCAAGUACACAUUUUACCAGGUAACCAAGGAGCUCUGCCUAUGUGCCUGUGGGAAGGGCCAGACAUGCUUGGGAUUUGAUAGCCCUCUGGAGCACCUGAUCAGUAAUGGUGAGGUUGGUGCUUAAGCUCAGUCUUCACUCCCUGGUGGGCAGUCGUCGAAGUCGGAAUAUAGUGCUUCCCAGAAUCCCCUGCAGCAUGAGCCCCAGCUGCCCACAGCUGAAGCCUGCCCUCAGCAAACCCUUCACCCUUUUUCCCUUCCUCAUCUGUUGUCUCCAUCCUCCACUGGGUCUUCCUGGGAGACCCUCUUAAAUAAAGGACUUACUCUCUA
Molecule: long non-coding RNA, 837 nt
Organism: Erinaceus europaeus (western European hedgehog)
Lineage: Eukaryota; Metazoa; Chordata; Mammalia; Eulipotyphla; Erinaceidae
Exons: 3
Source: RefSeq, a predicted model, not a curated record